Molecule: ribosomal RNA, 2926 nt
Filed under: Enterobacter chengduensis
Lineage: Bacteria; Pseudomonadati; Pseudomonadota; Gammaproteobacteria; Enterobacterales; Enterobacteriaceae
Description: 23S ribosomal RNA
Rfam family: Bacterial large subunit ribosomal RNA
Source: RNAcentral
GGGUUGUGAGGUUAAGCGACUAAGCGUACACGGUGGAUGCCCUGGCAGUCAGAGGCGAUGAAGGACGUGCUAAUCUGCGAAAAGCGCCGGCGAGGUGAUAUGAACCUUUGACCCGGCGAUGUCCGAAUGGGGAAACCCAGUGUGUUCCGACACACUAUCGUUAACUGAAUACAUAGGUUAACGAGGCGAACCGGGGGAACUGAAACAUCUAAGUACCCCGAGGAAAAGAAAUCAACCGAGAUUCCCCCAGUAGCGGCGAGCGAACGGGGAGCAGCCCAGAGUCUGAAUCAGCUUGUGUGUUAGUGGAAGCGUCUGGAAAGUCGCACGGUACAGGGUGACAGUCCCGUACACGAAAGCACACAGGUUGUGAACUCGAAGAGUAGGGCGGGACACGUGGUAUCCUGUCUGAAUAUGGGGGGACCAUCCUCCAAGGCUAAAUACUCCUGACUGACCGAUAGUGAACCAGUACCGUGAGGGAAAGGCGAAAAGAACCCCGGCGAGGGGAGUGAAAAAGAACCUGAAACCGUGUACGUACAAGCAGUGGGAGCACCUUCGUGGUGUGACUGCGUACCUUUUGUAUAAUGGGUCAGCGACUUAUAUUCUGUAGCAAGGUUAACCGUAUAGGGGAGCCGAAGGGAAACCGAGUCUUAACUGGGCGUUAAGUUGCAGGGUAUAGACCCGAAACCCGGUGAUCUAGCCAUGGGCAGGUUGAAGGUUGGGUAACACUAACUGGAGGACCGAACCGACUAAUGUUGAAAAAUUAGCGGAUGACUUGUGGCUGGGGGUGAAAGGCCAAUCAAACCGGGAGAUAGCUGGUUCUCCCCGAAAGCUAUUUAGGUAGCGCCUCGUGAACUCAUCUUCGGGGGUAGAGCACUGUUUCGGCUAGGGGGCCAUCCCGGCUUACCAACCCGAUGCAAACUACGAAUACCGAAGAAUGUUAUCACGGGAGACACACGGCGGGUGCUAACGUCCGUCGUGAAGAGGGAAACAACCCAGACCGCCAGCUAAGGUCCCAAAGUCAUGGUUAAGUGGGAAACGAUGUGGGAAGGCACAGACAGCCAGGAUGUUGGCUUAGAAGCAGCCAUCAUUUAAAGAAAGCGUAAUAGCUCACUGGUCGAGUCGGCCUGCGCGGAAGAUGUAACGGGGCUAAACCAUGCACCGAAGCUGCGGCAGCGACGCUUAUGCGUUGUUGGGUAGGGGAGCGUUCUGUAAGCCGUUGAAGGUGGCCUGUGAGGGUUGCUGGAGGUAUCAGAAGUGCGAAUGCUGACAUAAGUAACGAUAAAGCGGGUGAAAAGCCCGCUCGCCGGAAGACCAAGGGUUCCUGUCCAACGUUAAUCGGGGCAGGGUGAGUCGACCCCUAAGGCGAGGCCGAAAGGCGUAGUCGAUGGGAAACAGGUUAAUAUUCCUGUACUUGGUGUUGCUGCGAAGGGGGGACGGAGAAGGCUAUGUUAGCCGGGCGACGGUUGUCCCGGUUUAAGCAUGUAGGCGGAGGUUCCAGGUAAAUCCGGUACCUUUUAACGCUGAGGUGUGAUGACGAGGCACUACGGUGCUGAAGUAACAAAUGCCCUGCUUCCAGGAAAAGCCUCUAAGCAUCAGGUAACACGAAAUCGUACCCCAAACCGACACAGGUGGUCAGGUAGAGAAUACCAAGGCGCUUGAGAGAACUCGGGUGAAGGAACUAGGCAAAAUGGUGCCGUAACUUCGGGAGAAGGCACGCUGAUAUGUAGGUGAAGCCCCUGCGGGUGGAGCUGAAAUCAGUCGAAGAUACCAGCUGGCUGCAACUGUUUAUUAAAAACACAGCACUGUGCAAACACGAAAGUGGACGUAUACGGUGUGACGCCUGCCCGGUGCCGGAAGGUUAAUUGAUGGGGUUAGCGGCAACGCGAAGCUCUUGAUCGAAGCCCCGGUAAACGGCGGCCGUAACUAUAACGGUCCUAAGGUAGCGAAAUUCCUUGUCGGGUAAGUUCCGACCUGCACGAAUGGCGUAAUGAUGGCCAGGCUGUCUCCACCCGAGACUCAGUGAAAUUGAACUCGCUGUGAAGAUGCAGUGUACCCGCGGCAAGACGGAAAGACCCCGUGAACCUUUACUAUAGCUUGACACUGAACACUGGUCCUUGAUGUGUAGGAUAGGUGGGAGGCUUUGAAGCGUGGACGCCAGUCUGCGUGGAGCCGUCCUUGAAAUACCACCCUUUAAUGGCUGGUGUUCUAACGUAGACCCGUGAUCCGGGUUGCGGACAGUGUCUGGUGGGUAGUUUGACUGGGGCGGUCUCCUCCCAAAGAGUAACGGAGGAGCACGAAGGUUAGCUAAUCCUGGUCGGACAUCAGGAGGUUAGUGCAAUGGCAUAAGCUAGCUUGACUGCGAGAGUGACGGCUCGAGCAGGUGCGAAAGCAGGUCAUAGUGAUCCGGUGGUUCUGAAUGGAAGGGCCAUCGCUCAACGGAUAAAAGGUACUCCGGGGAUAACAGGCUGAUACCGCCCAAGAGUUCAUAUCGACGGCGGUGUUUGGCACCUCGAUGUCGGCUCAUCACAUCCUGGGGCUGAAGUAGGUCCCAAGGGUAUGGCUGUUCGCCAUUUAAAGUGGUACGCGAGCUGGGUUUAGAACGUCGUGAGACAGUUCGGUCCCUAUCUGCCGUGGGCGCUGGAGAAUUGAGGGGGGCUGCUCCUAGUACGAGAGGACCGGAGUGGACGCAUCACUGGUGUUCGGGUUGUCAUGCCAAUGGCACUGCCCGGUAGCUAAAUGCGGAAAAGAUAAGUGCUGAAAGCAUCUAAGCACGAAACUUGCCCCGAGAUGAGUUCUCCCUGACUCUUUAAGAGUCCUGAAGGAACGUUGAAGACGACGACGUUGAUAGGUCGGGUGUGUAAGCGCAGCGAUGCGUUGAGCUAACCGAUACUAAUGAACCGUGAGGCUUAACCUUACAACGCCGAAG